Molecule: long non-coding RNA, 2440 nt
Organism: Neofelis nebulosa (Clouded leopard)
Lineage: Eukaryota; Metazoa; Chordata; Mammalia; Carnivora; Felidae
Exons: 2
Source: RefSeq, a predicted model, not a curated record
AUCAUAUACCAUGAUCAAGUGAAAUUUAUUCCAGGAAUGCUAGGAUGUUUCCAUAUCCACAAGUCAAUCAAUUGACACACAAUGAAGGAUUAACAAAAUUAAGGGUAAAAGGACAAAAAAUUAAGGAUAAAAAUCAUAUGACCAUCCCAAUAGAUCCAGAAAAAGCAUUUGACAAAAUUCAACAUCAAUUAGUUAAAAACUAAACAAAGUGGGCAUUGAGGGAACAUACCUCAACAUAAUAAGGUCAUAUAUGACAAGCACACAGCUAAGAUCAUACUCAGUGGUGAACAUCUGAAAGCUUUUCCUCCAAGAUCAGAAACAAGAAAGGAUGCCCACCCUUACCACUUUUGUUCAACAUCAGAAGUCCUAGCCAGAGCAAUUAGGUAAGAAAAAAAAUUAAAGGCCUCCAAAACAGAAAGGAAGAAGUCAAACUGUCACUAUUUGCAGGUGACAUUCUAUUAUUAUUUAUAAAAUUUCUUUCUGAUCAUUAUUAGCAUAUAGAAAUGCAACUGAUUUUUGUACAUUGAUUUUGUAUCCUGCACCUUUACUGAAUUUGUUUAUUAGUUCUAAGAGGUUGUUUUGGUGUAAUCUUUAAACAACCCCAUUUACAAUUGCAUCAAAAAUAAUAAAAAAACAUAGGAAUAAAUUUAACCAAAGAGGUGAAGGUCCUGUACACUGAAAACUAUAAGACAAUGCUGAAAGAAAGUGAGGAAGACACAGAUAAAUAGAAACGUAAUCCAUGCUCAUAGACUGGAAGAAUUAAAUACUGUUAAAACAUCUAGACUACCACAAAAGAUUUAUAAAUUCAAUGCAUCCCUAUCAAAAUUUCAAUGACAUUUUUCAGAGAAAUGCAACAAACAAUCUUAAAAUAUGUAUGGAACCACAAAAGACCCUGAAGAGUGAAAGGAAUCUUGAGAAACAAAGCUGGAAGCAUCAUGCAUUUUUAUUUUAAAUUUUUUUUUUAAUCUAUAGUGAUCAAAACAGUUAUGAUAUUAAUAUUUAAAAAAAGACACAUCAGUCAGUGGAAUAGAACAAGGAGCCCAGAAAGAAACCCACAUAUAGUCAAUUUAUGACAAAAGAGCCAAGAACAUACAGUAUUCAUGACACAGUGUUGGAAAAACUGGACAACUACAUGCAAAAGAAUGAAAUUGGAACAUAUUUUACACCAUACACAAAAAUGAACUCAAAAUGGAUUAAGGAGUUGAACAUAAGACUUGAAACCAUGAAGUUCCUAAAAGAAAACAUAGUAAACUCCUUGACAAUGGUCUAGGCAAUGAUUUUUGGAUUGGAGACCAAAAGCAACAAAAACAAAAAUAAACAAGUGGGACUACAGCAAAUUAAAAUGCCUCUGCACAGCAAAGGAAACCAUCAACAAAAUGAAAAGGUAACCUACUGAAUGGGAAAAAAGAAUUGCAAGUCAUACAUCUGAUAAGAGGUUAAUAUCCAAAGUAUAUAAAGAACUGCUUCAACUCAACAGCCAAAAAACAAUCUGAUUAAAAAUGGGUAGAGAGUCUGAAUAGAUAUUUUCCAAAGACAUGCAGGUGGCCAAUAUACAUGAAAAGUUGUUUACCACCACUAAUCAUCAGGGAAAUACAAAUCAAAACCACAAUGACACAUCACUUCACACCUCCUAGAAUGGCUACUAUCCAAAAGACAAGAAAUAACAAGUGUUGGGAAGGAUGAGGAGAAAAGGAAAUCACUGCUGGUGGAAAUGUAUAUUGGUGCAGUUGCUAUGGAAAACGGUAUGGAGGUUCCUCAAAAAGUUAAAAACAGAACUACCAUAUGAUCCAACAAUUUCACUUCUGGGUAUUUAUCUGAUGGAAACUUGAACAUUAACUCAAAAAGAUAUAUAUAGAUACCCCCAUGUUCAUGCAGCCUGGGUGUGGAGGCUGCUUAAGAUUCUCUCUCUCCCUCUUCCUCUGCCCUUCCCCUGCUCAAGUGCGUGUGCAGAAGACACGAAUUGACAUUUUUCCAAAGAAGACACCCAGAUGGCUAAAAGACACAUGAAAAAUGCUCAACAUUACUCAUCAUCAAGGAAAUAUAAGUCAAAACCAUGAUGAGAUACCACCUCACACCUGUCAGAAUGGCUAAAACUAACAACUCAGGAAACAGAUGUUGGCGAGGAUGUGGAGAAAGGGGAACCCUCUUACUGGUGGGAAUGCAAUCUCAUGCAAUCACUGUGGAAGCUCCUCAAAAGGGUAAAAAUAAAACUACUUUAUGACCCAACAAUUGCACUACUAGGUAUUUAUCCAAAGGAUACCAAAAUGCUGAUUCGAAGGGGCACAUGCAUGCCAAUGUUUAUAGCAGCAACAAAAAUAGCCAAACUAUGGAAAGAGCCCAAGGGUCCAUGGACUGAUGAAUGGAUAAAGAAGAUGUAGUAUUGACAGUGGAAUAUUACUCAGCCAUCAAAGAAAUAGAAAUCUUCCCAUUUGCAAUGACA